RNAcentral lists this ribosomal RNA (465 nucleotides) under uncultured bacterium. RNAcentral describes it as "bacterial SSU rRNA". It matches the Rfam family "Bacterial small subunit ribosomal RNA", at positions 330 to 792 of the family's 1533-position model. The record is from RNAcentral.
UCCAGACUCCUACGGGAGGCAGCAGUGAGGAAUAUUGGUCAAUGGGCGGAAGCCUGAACCAGCCAAGUCGCGUGAGGGAAGAAGGCCCUGCGGGUCGCAGACCUCUUUGGACGGGGAGCAAGGCCGCCGACGUGUCGGCGGAAGGAGAGUACCCGUAGAACAAGCAUCGGCUAACUCCGUGCCAGCAGCCGCGGUAAUACGGAGGAUGCGAGCGUUAUCCGGAUUUAUUGGGUUUAAAGGGUGCGCAGGCGGCACGGCAAGCCGGCGGUCAAAUCGCGGGGCUCAACCCCGCCCAGCCGUCGGAACUGGCAGUCUCGAGUUGGAGAGAAGUAUGCGGAAUGCGCGGUGUAGCGGUGAAAUGCAUAGAUAUCGCGCAGAACUCCGAUUGCGAAGGCAGCAUGCCGGCUCCACACUGACGCUGAGGCACGAAAGCGUGGGUAUCGAACAGGAUUAGAUACCCUUGUA